RNAcentral lists this ribosomal RNA (253 nucleotides) under uncultured bacterium. Its description in RNAcentral is "partial 16S ribosomal RNA". It matches the Rfam family "Bacterial small subunit ribosomal RNA", at positions 524 to 776 of the family's 1533-position model. The record is from RNAcentral.
UACGUAGGGACCGAGCGUUGUCCGGAUUCAUUGGGCGUAAAGAGCUCGUAGGCGGCCACUCAAGUCGAAUGUGAAACCUCGAGGCUUAACCUCGAGCCUGCAUUCGAUACUGGGCGGCUAGAGUCUGGUAGGGGGAUCUGGAAUUCCUGGUGUAGCGGUGGAAUGCGCAGAUAUCGAGAGGAACACCAGUGGCGAAGGCGAGUCUCUGGACGACCCCUGACACUGAGGCACGAAAGCUAGGGGAGCAAACAGG